Molecule: ribozyme, 73 nt
Filed under: unclassified sequences
Description: HDV ribozyme from F. prausnitzii
Rfam family: HDV ribozyme from F. prausnitzii
Source: RNAcentral
GCUGCUCAAAACUUCAUAUACCUCUACGUGGUGAGUAGCGGACAAUAGUCUUAUAACCAGCAAAGAAGAUAUG